GACGAACGCUGGCGGCGCGCCUAACACAUGCAAGUCGAACGAGCGAGAGAGAGCUUGCUUUCUCGAGCGAGUGGCGAACGGGUGAGUAACGCGUGAGGAACCUGCCUCAAAGAGGGGGACAACAGUUGGAAACGACUGCUAAUACCGCAUAAGCCCACGGCUCGGCAUCGAGCAGGGGGAAAAGGAGCAAUCCGCUUUGAGAUGGCCUCGCGUCCGAUUAGCUAGUUGGUGAGGUAACGGCCCACCAAGGCGACGAUCGGUAGCCGGACUGAGAGGUUGAACGGCCACAUUGGGACUGAGACACGGCCCAGACUCCUACGGGAGGAAGCAGUGGGGAAUAUUGCACAAUGGGGGAAACCCUGAUGCAGCGACGCCGCGUGGAGGAAGAAGGUCUUCGGAUUGUAAACUCCUGUUGUUGGGGAAGAUAAUGACGGUACCCAACAAGGAAGUGACGGCUAACUACGUG
This 466-nucleotide ribosomal RNA is filed under the name uncultured bacterium. RNAcentral's name for it is "partial 16S ribosomal RNA". It matches the Rfam family "Bacterial small subunit ribosomal RNA", at positions 28 to 507 of the family's 1533-position model. The record is from RNAcentral.